RNAcentral lists this ribosomal RNA (623 nucleotides) under uncultured archaeon. RNAcentral describes it as "bacterial SSU rRNA". It matches the Rfam family "Archaeal small subunit ribosomal RNA", at positions 146 to 774 of the family's 1478-position model. The record is from RNAcentral.
AUAAUACUCCAUAGAUUAGAGACACUGGAAUGUUCCUUAGUCGAAAGUUCUGGCGCCUUAGGAUGGAUCUGCGGUCGAUUAGGUUGUUGUUGGGGUAACGGCCCAACAAGCCUGUAAUCGAUACGGGUUGUGGGAGCAAGAGCCCGGAGAUGGAAUCUGAGACACGAUUCCAGGCCCUACGGGGCGCAGCAGGCGCGAAAACUUUACAAUGCAGGAAACUGUGAUAAGGGAACUCCGAGUGCCCGUAUACGCGGGCUGUCCAGGUGUUUAAAAAUCAUCUGAAGAAAGGGCCGGGCAAGACCGGUGCCAGCCGCCGCGGUAAUACCGGCGGCUCGAGUGGUGGCCACUAUUAUUGGGCUUAAAGCGUCCGUAGCUGGACCGAUAAGUCUCUUGGGAAAUCCGCCGGCUCAACCGGCGGGCGUCUAAGGGAUACUGUUAGUCUAGGGACCGGGAGAGGUGAGAGGUACUCCGGGGGUAGGAGUGAAAUCCUGUAAUCCCCGGGGGACCACCGAUGGCGAAGGCAUCUCACCAGAACGGCUCCGACAGUGAGGGACGAAAGCUGGGGGAGCGAACCGGAUUAAAUACCCGGGUAGUCCCAGCCGUAAACUAUGCGCGUUAGGUGU